This 497-nucleotide ribosomal RNA is filed under the name uncultured bacterium. RNAcentral's name for it is "partial 16S ribosomal RNA". It matches the Rfam family "Bacterial small subunit ribosomal RNA", at positions 28 to 507 of the family's 1533-position model. The record is from RNAcentral.
GAUGAACGCUGGCGGCGUGCCUAAUACAUGCAAGUCGAGCGAACAGACGAGGAGCUUACUCCUCUGACGUUAGCGGCGGACGGGUGAGUAACACGUGGAUAACCUACCUAUAAGACUGGGAUAACUUCGGGAAACCGGAGCUAAUACCGGAUAACAUGUUGAACCGCAUGGUUCAACAGUGAAAGACGAUCUUGCUGUCACUUAUAGAUGGAUCCGCGUCGCAUUAGCUAGUUGGUAAGGUAACGGCUUACCAAGGCAACGAUGCGUAGCCGACCUGAGAGGGUGAUCGGCCACACUGGAACUGAGACACGGUCCAGACUCCUACGGGAGGCAGCAGUAGGGAAUCUUCCGCAAUGGGCGAAAGCCUGACGGAGCAACGCCGCGUGAGUGAAGAAGGUCUUCGGAUCGUAAAACUCUGUUAUUAGGGAAGAACAAAUGUGUAAGUAACUAUGCACGUCUUGACGGUACCUAAUCAGAAAGCCACGGCUAACUACGUG